RNAcentral lists this ribosomal RNA (605 nucleotides) under Hypocreales sp. Vl-19. RNAcentral's name for it is "LSU rRNA". It matches the Rfam family "Eukaryotic large subunit ribosomal RNA", at positions 38 to 668 of the family's 3401-position model. RNAcentral also lists the same sequence under 1 other name. Lineage: Eukaryota; Fungi; Ascomycota; Sordariomycetes; Hypocreales. The record is from RNAcentral.
GCAUAUCAAUAAGCGGAGGAAAAGAAACCAACAGGGAUUGCCCCAGUAACGGCGAGUGAAGCGGCAACAGCUCAAAUUUGAAAUCUGGCCCUUGGGUCCGAGUUGUAAUUUGUAGAGGAUGCUUUUGGCGAGGUGCCUUCCGAGUUCCCUGGAACGGGACGCCAUAGAGGGUGAGAGCCCCGUCUGGUCGGACACCGAGCCUCUGUAAAGCUCCUUCGACGAGUCGAGUAGUUUGGGAAUGCUGCUCAAAAUGGGAGGUAUAUGUCUUCUAAAGCUAAAUAUUGGCCAGAGACCGAUAGCGCACAAGUAGAGUGAUCGAAAGAUGAAAAGCACUUUGAAAAGAGGGUUAAAAAGUACGUGAAAUUGUUGAAAGGGAAGCGCCUAUGACCAGACUUGGGCCCGGUGAAUCAUCCAGCGUUCUCGCUGGUGCACUUUGCCGGGCACAGGCCAGCAUCAGUUUGGCGCGGGGGAAAAAGGCUUUGGGAAUGUGGCUCCCUCGGGAGUGUUAUAGCCCAUUGUGUAAUACCCUGCGCCGGACUGAGGUACGCGCAUUGCAAGGAUGCUGGCGUAAUGGUCAUCAGCGACCCGUCUUGAAACACGGACCA